Molecule: long non-coding RNA, 510 nt
Filed under: Nicotiana benthamiana
Lineage: Eukaryota; Viridiplantae; Streptophyta; Magnoliopsida; Solanales; Solanaceae
Description: long non-coding RNA (NBEN_LNC029619)
Source: RNAcentral
UUUGAAAACAAUUCCCUCUCCCUGCUUCCCCCUCAUUUUUUUUGGAAGUUCCUCCUUCCAAAAUCUUGGUUCCGCUACUGAGUGCACACACUCAUACAUGUAAUUUCCUUUUCUGGUUUUGAAUAAUUCUUGCUAUUUUUGUUCUUGCAGCUACGUUAAUCAGGGAGCUGAGGAGAAUAUCCCACCAAACUCGUGGUUGGUGUAUGAUAUUGAAUUGAUUGGAGUCCGUCGAUAACUCCAGCGUAGAAUUAUUCGUUCGUGGAUGAAAGAUCAUCUGUAGGGAACUUAUCGUUUCUUGAAAUUUUGUCACGUGAACUCUCUGUGGAAGUUGGUGCUGAGGCAGGUUCUAGACGUUAGUAUUAUUCAUUCGUGGAUGAAAGAUCAUCUAUAGGGAACUUAUCGUUUCUUGAAAUUUUGUCACGUGAACUCUGCGGAAGUUGGUGCUGAGGCAGGUUCUAGACAAAGAUUUACAACCACUUUCUUCAUUACCAGGACCGACUUGUUGAGGAA